Molecule: non-coding RNA, 104 nt
Organism: Piedraia hortae CBS 480.64
Lineage: Eukaryota; Fungi; Ascomycota; Dothideomycetes; Capnodiales; Piedraiaceae
Source: the annotation of a GenBank genome assembly
GACACUUUGGCGGAGUGGUUAACGCGCUGCCCUGCUAGUCAUAGAAAAGCGAUUAGGUUUAGGCAGUGUCUUCGGACGCGCAGGUUCGAAUCCUGCAGGUGUCG